UUCUCUUGUCCUUCAUUCCACCGGAGUCUGUCUCGUACCCAACCAGAUUUCAGUGGAGUGAAGUUCAGGAGGCG
Pteropus alecto (black flying fox) is the source of this 74-nucleotide non-coding RNA. Lineage: Eukaryota; Metazoa; Chordata; Mammalia; Chiroptera; Pteropodidae. The record is from Rfam.